Gallus gallus (chicken) is the source of this 3833-nucleotide long non-coding RNA. The record is from Ensembl. Lineage: Eukaryota; Metazoa; Chordata; Aves; Galliformes; Phasianidae.
GUAACACAGGAAGAUAAUCAUACAAGUGCUGUAUACCUCUGUGGAAAGUGUCUUCACUAGGAUUUCAAUAAUGAGUAGCAUGAAAACCUCUAGAUACAGAGGGGUUCUGCUCUGCUUGGCAUGAUGCAGUGCAACUGAGUUGCUCAGAGUUAAGCAGCUCUGGCAAGGAAACCACAUGUUCCACACAACAUUUCUCUCUUCCUUUAAGCGUGCUCUAAGACAAUUUACGAUUCAUCUGCAAACUGCCUGGCACUGAACACAGAGAGAAGAGCAGAAAUCCCCUGAGCUAGCACAUCCUAUCUGCAUCGUGCUGAUCCACUUGCUGUCAGGAGAACUGGUCCCAUCUUGGGCAGCCCUUAUGGGGUUGGGUUAUGCCCACACUGGGCGAUCCCCCCAUGUCUCUGCAUGCUGCACACCCCUCCUUUGGCCUAUGGGAGAUAAAGAGAGAGCUGCUUCCGUGCAGCUCCUGUCCCAAAGCCUCCAGCCUCAGCCCGGUUUCAGAAAUGGGAUUCACAAUCUCAACAGCAACCUGUUGCUGGUACGUAGAGAAUGCUUAUCAACAACUGCUAAGUCAUCUGCAAGCUUUUCAGCUGAUAUAAGUAUCUGCAUCCUUCUGCACAAGUGUUGUUCUCUUUGUGUCUCUGGGUUCUCUUCUGGGUUUAGCUGGCACUUGAUCUUGCCAGUAAAAUCUGAUGCUUCUUGCUAUAAUAAUGAGAAAGACUCGGGAAAGAAAAAUUAAGUGUUUAUGAGUCAGAAUUCUAGACUUAGCUCUUUUGUGCCACACUAAUGCAAUUGGAGUGAAUAAAAUCAUGCAUCAAUCCAACCGCAGUUCUCUUUGCUGCAGAUCUACAAGUAUUAAAGAAAAAUAAGAGGGGAAAAAAAAACAACAACUCUACAAAGCUUUACUAAAUCACACAAGAUAAUAAAAACAAAUGUUUUGCGUUAUACUGUCAAAGAAAGAAAAAAGACUUCUGCCCUCUCCUGAUUGAGUAUUUCAUUGCCUGCAUCCAUAACCAGUGAAAAGUAGAUAUCUCCAUCCAGGCUUGUUGAAGAAGCGCUUCUGUUGCUGCAAAGGACAUAGUGGAUGCACUGAUCACUACGUUCUGUUAAGCCACUGCGUGGUCACAGUAUGAGAGCUGAGGGAAAAGUAAAUUACAGAGGAAGGCGUGACCCUUCUGUGAUGGGUAGCUGUGUAUUUCCGUGCUGAUAGCCAAGGUCAUGCAAACUCUCAAGCCUCUGCUCACCCCAGGGAAUCUUAGUUCAGGACGUUCCUUACAGCACAAUUAGUCACUCGGUGUUUUGUCUGUGCCCUCUCUCUUCUUAUCUCACCAUUACUUCCUCUGCUUUAAGGCUCAUGUAUCCAGGGGAUGCGGGCAGCUGGAGAAAUAUUCUUUUAAUGAGCCUCAUUUGUUAGGUGCUACUGUUGAUGAAACUAUUAGAUGGAAUCAAAAAUUGAACAUAGUUACAGUACCUAUGUUUGCUAUCUACAAAAAAAGUGUGCUAAUGCAGCUUGGUUGCUAUGGUACAAAAGCUGACAUCAGGAACACGAAGAUGCAUUUGCCUUUUCGCAGUACUUAAGAUGGCAGGCUCGUUGACUAAUCUGGUGGGUGGCAUACUGCACUGUUACUUAACAAGGUGCUUCUGGUGCACGAGAAAUGGAAACAGGGAUCAGUUGCUGCUUAGAAUGUAAUCAAGUUUCUCAAGUCUGAUUCCAGUGUUCUGCCUGUCCACUUUGGGAGUGUUUGUACUUAAUUCCUUUCUUUCAUUAUUUUUUUUCCCCAAUGCCUUUUUCAGUCUAUUCUGAUCUUAGCAGAAGCCUUAGUUCUGUUCAGUUUGACUACAUGCAUUACUUAAGUGUAGUAAUUCUUAGGAGCAAAAGAAAGACCACGUAUACAGGUAGAAGGAAGAGGUUGAUUUUAUUGUGUUUUAUCUGAAAGUGGAUGUAAAACUUGUGAAAAUUACUACCUUAGUAGCUCUAGAAGAGGAACCUUCCUCUGCUUAUCCAUUGAAAAUCCAGUGUGGAGAACAGCAGUAUCGAUUUAUCAUAUGUUGAUCUCCUAUGUGCUUUAAGCCAAACCAGGAGAGAUCUUGGCUAGGAGCAGAAAGCUACUGAUUUUCAGAGGGAGUGAUUUCACAUUUAGUGAAACCAGUGCCAGUGUUUUUAUGUAUUGCACUCAGUUUUGCACCAUGCUUUCAGACCAUUCCUCUUUGGCACUGCUGCUUAGCUUCUGAGUAAGACCAAGCUCAUGCUGUUGCUGUCACAAGGCUUCCUACCCGUUCAAACCAGGCACUGUGGCAACAUAUUUGAAAGAAUCUUCACCCACAACUUAGCCUUGAAAAUGUUGCCAAUAAUGAAUUCCUUCCUUAACCAACACUUACUUUCUGGGAAUAGUGAAACAAGGCUGCUUUGGGCAAGUGAUGUGAAGUGAUAGGUCUGCAAGCCCUUGUUAUGACUCACCUUCGUUUCUAUCACGUGUUCCUCUGCUACUUUGUCCUUUGCCUUUAUCACACUGUACACACUUGUGGCUCCCCAGAAGAUAGAUGGUGUUUGUUGUAAAACAUUCUGAACGUUUUUCAAGUGAGUUACGCCCUUUCUGUAAACCCAACAAUAAAUUACAAUGAGUUACUAAUUAGUAGGGGUGUUAAAAUACGAAAUGAUGUAACGAGCAAGCUGCAUUAGCCAUUUCCUGUAGGAAAGAAGCAUAGAGAGUUAAUUUGCAUCCAGAUGCUUAUCCAAAUAGAAGUCAUUACAGGACUGGAGCUUAAGCUGACACAGGUCAGCGAGGUGGCCAAUAUCACCAAGCCAGAGGGGACGGGGUUCCCUCUAUCCCAGUGUCUGACUUUCCUGCUGCUCACACUGCAAGCAAUCUAGAGGCUUUCAAGCAACUUCGCUGGGUUUGGGAGCUUUGUUUUGUAAUUAACGUCCCGUUACUCAUGCUGGGAGCAUGUCGUGUGAAGGUCAAACACUUGGAAAUAGAAGGGCCAGCCGCUGGUGGAGGUAAAAUUAGUUCUGGUGUUUCCACUGAUGCUUCCUGCGUGCGGAGACAGCGCCGGUGGGUGCCGCAGAGGGCACGUCGGCAAUGGCAUCAGCUGCUGCAGCAGGGAGCCGCCAACGGGAGGUCUGCCCGCGCCCCGGGGCGGCUGCUUCCAGCAUCCCGAUCCGUGCUGUGACGCGGGGAUUUUGUGUUCUAAACGAGAAGCUGAGGCGCACGGGGGAGAAGGAGGAAACCGUCUGUCUUCCGUUCCGCCGCGGCGUUCCUAACCCACGCCCCGGCCCCGCAGUCGCUCAGCCGGGGCCGCUUCAGUGGUGCUGAGGCCGCCCUGAAGCUCGAAGCCGUUCUGUAGGCGGUCCCGCAGCUUCUCGGUAACCCCCCCGGGCUCUUUGGGGGCUUUCCGGCGCGGUUACCCACCGGCCCCGUCCCGCCCGCUCCGCCCCGGCAGCUCGCGGGGCCGGACGCGCUGCCUUCCUGCCGUUCGCCUUCGCUCCCGGUGCGGUGCGGCCUUCUCCCGUGAAUCAGCACUGACUCAGCCGGCCGGCAUCUCGCCGUAGAAAGCAGACCGUUGAAAGAACGCUCUCGGUGACCGUAAUCCACGUCUUACGGCGCUGACGGAAAGUCACGGCACGCACCGGGCCCCUCCGUCCGCGGGCACAGGGCGACGCUCACCUCCUCGGACCUCCGCGGCCCUCCGCCUCACCCCGUUACGAACUCCCCGGGAGGCACCGAACCCGGGAGCCGCUAUUGCUGAGGGUCCGUAAGGGAAGAGGGGCGGUGGGCGGGGUCACCUUGCGCUGACCCCCCCCCCCGCUCCCACCCUGUGCUGCGCGCGCCGGU